UUCAUUUUAGCAAAUAUAACAAACUUCGCCAUGUAAGGAACGCAUAUUAAUUCUCUAUAAAGCUGUGUUGCCAGCCCAACAGUCUCUAGUACUUGAUGGCAGUCUGCAAGCCAAAAUCUGGCUGAAACAUUGGUUGUGAAGGAGACACAAUCAUUAGAAAAUGUCAGUGGAGUCGUGCCUGUGAUGUCCUCCCACUGCGCAGGUGAAGUACCUCCUGUAAUGCUACAUAAAAGUCGAAGGCUGGGCGUCGUGUCUCCUUUGUACCCAUUGGUUACACCUUCGCCUGAUGGAGGUGGCACAGGAAUUGUCAUGGUUAUUGGCUUAUGAAAUUUUCUUCUUCUUGGCUCCACAGUGACAAUGGGACUGAAAGUUGCUUUGUUUCCAAGGAUUUUUUUAACAAUCUCCUCUGGAACUGGUUGAGCCUGGAGUCCCACGCGGAUUCUUUUGGUUAGAGCACCCUCAGGGAAGGACGCCUGGACACGUGGCACGGUCGUGCUGCUCAGCACGCCACCCUCUGGGCCAAUUUGGUUACUCUCUUGCUUGAUUCGUGAAACCACUGCGAAGUACUGAGGGAAAUCCUUUGUGACAAUCCUACAGAUACGCUUCUUCUCUAGCUCCUCAACGCUGUCCAGCUCUUCAUCCAUGCCAUUGAGUACUUCAGUUAAGUCUUCAUGCUUGCUGUCAUACUGGUGCUCCUUCCACGUUUCGCCAUUUUCACUUCGAAGUACGAUUAACUCUCUUUCCUUUCCUCGCAUUGAUCCAAAAUGUGGGAUUUCCACUAUGACAGGGCCUAAGAAUUGUGCCCCUGCCGGCCCCAUUUCUACAAGUCUACUUGCUAAUCCUUCUCCUUCAACCAUUGGUGGUGGG
RNAcentral lists this long non-coding RNA (867 nucleotides) under Gallus gallus (chicken). Lineage: Eukaryota; Metazoa; Chordata; Aves; Galliformes; Phasianidae. The record is from RNAcentral.